UAUUCCUUCCCACUAAAAGUGAAAAAGUUUUGCGUGUAAAUGAACUUAUACUUUGCAACUUUUUGUUGCGUUGCCUAGCAACAAGCUAGCGGCACGCCAGACGCACGUGCAUACGUCAUGCGCCAGACAAGCCGCAGGAGUGAGCGAGGCCGGCUGCGCAUGUGAAGCGCGCGUGCUCGGCGACCCGUCUCUUUUGGAUGUAGCCCGUUUUUUGGGCUCCCGGCGUUCUCUUGUGUUCCGUCUGCAUUUCGACACGGCACCGCUGCACUACUAGACUAGAGCAAGGUUACGCAUGCAGCAAAUUCCCAGGUGCUAAAGUGUUCUACGUCAAGAGCACCACGGCGUCGUGCAAGAGACACCCGUUGAUAUGCGGCUGAUUUACUAGCAAGCUCGCAUCUCUAUUGCCACUCUCCAUCAAGUGGGAUUUUAAACUAUUUUUGUGCUGCUCUGUGGUGUACUAGCUGCCGCAUGGACGCUGUGAAGGCUCACUUUCGAUUUGCUCUGGCGUUUAGUAGUAAAGGAUGCGCUACCAUUUUAGGGGACGCAUUUACUUUUGUUUGUGAGAAUGUUUACCAGCCUAACCAAGUGAUACGUGCGUACUGUAAACAGCAGCACGAACAGAGGUGGACGACGGACGACGAAAUAAGUAGGAGCACACACGAGCGCAAGCUCAACUAAAAGUACACUUUUGAUGACAGAGUUUUUAAAGACACUGGUCAACUUGACAAAGGUAUAAAGCCGUGCAUGCGUAGCAGAAACAGCCACGUGCGACAAGAAAAAAAUAUGAAAAAGCCAUGUCAUGUAGAAUAAACGUGCAUGAAAAACGAGAACUAUCGGACAAAUCUUUCGAAAAAGCGAAAUAUUUGUCUGAUAAGUGAUACUACCCAACGAAAAAUACUCUUUUGAGAACUGCAACUUUUUACCACUAAGGGAAACAGAUAACUUGGUUAUGCAUUUGUUUCGUUUGUGAUCAAUAAGUAUUACUUCUGGAACUCCUCUGGUGUGGCGGUAUAGAGCUGAAACAACGAUUGUUUCAUCACAAAGACCAGAACACAAGAGGAGUUAUGGAAGCUGUAUUUAUUGAUCACAAAUAAAAAUUUAUAAGCAAGAUUUCUGUGACCCUUAGUGGGAAAGAGUUGCUGCGUUACUUCUCGUUAGUAUCACUUACAGGACAAAUUUCUCAGUUUUCAAGUUUUUGUUAGUUUUGACGCCCAUGUUUAUUCUACAGGACGUCUUUCGGUCCUUUUUUGUUGUGCCGGGCUGUUUCUGCUGCGCAUCCAUGGCUUUUUCUUUGUGAAGUUGGCCAGUGUGUUUAAAAUCUUCGUCAUCACGAAUAAACUUCUAGUCGAGUGAGCGUUCAUGUGUGUUCCUACUUUAAUUCAUCCUUCUCGCCUCUGUUCGGGUGGUUGUCGAAUAUAAAUGUUCACCAAAUUGGCGAAGUGUCCAUAGAAUCGAUACAUGAAGUUAUUUGCGCUGUUUAUUUCAGGAAGAACGCUAUACGGUCUUCUUUGUUUAUAACAUUGAUAUACAUUUUUCUAGUUCAACUUCAAGGAGUCCCCUGAGGAAGCCAAUAAGAGUGAUAUCUUCCUUUGUGUGUAAGACAUGAAUUUCAUCCAUUCAAGGCAUGACAUGCCACAUGCCUGUUUGUAGGUAUGCAAGCAUUCGUAGUUUUUAAAAAUACUAAGCUCUACUUUUCGGUUCUCAUGCCGCUGCUUUGUACUGUGCUGCAUUCUCCAGACGCAGGAACCUUUUUUAUGCGGUAGGUACAUGUGUUCGUUUUGUAUAUAUUGGAGAAAAAAUUGUCGUGAGCUUAAAUAUGCAUAUAUAUCAUUGUAAUUUUUUUUUCAACACAGGUGCUGUGUCUUCCUCCGUCUUUGUGACUGCUUUGUCCCAAUUUUUAUGCAACUUUUUCGUAUUUUAUGCAAUAAAAUUCUGGUAGCAUUUUAAUAACAUUUUACCUGCGCAAUUGAGUCACUGGUAUUUCGUAUACGCAUUUAUUUGCGUUUUUCACUGUCUCACCAGGCUGUCCAGUCAUUGGAACCUUUUCUCAUCCUUUGUGACUGUUUCUGGAGUUCUUGAUACUGCAAGUGCAGGUGACCAUUUAUUUGGCAGUUUGGAAUUGUUAGCCGUGUGUUACUACCAAUUUUCGAUGCUAAAUAAUUAUUUUUUCUCUUAUCGUUCAAGGUAUUAGCCUUGCCUUAUGUCUUUAUUGACUGAGGUACCACUUAGUUGCAGGGUAUAGGGAAAAAGGCCCUAAAAAGUGCUCUAAUUAGCUUUGUGCAAGUCCAGAAAAAUUACCUGAAAUUGAGCUCACAAAAUUGAGGAAAUGCCACCAACAAACUCUUCUGUACCCCAAAUUAACAUAAUCAAAUGGUGUACUGUUUGUUCUUGACUUGUGCCAGGGAGAUAGGCUGCAUUAAUUACACAAAACUUUUACAAGUUUAUUUGUGAAGAAAGCAAACCUGGCUCGUCAGAAACAUAUAAUUCAGGUGUUCACCAUGCCCGACAACUUUCUAGAUGAUGUAUCGUCAAUUAAUGGCUAAGUUGAAUGAUGUUAUUUUAUAAAAUAAAUGGGCAACAUGAAAAUAUAUACAUCUCGAAGACAAGAAGCUCACGCAAGUCUACUUUGGUACUCCAUUAAAUUUUAAUCGCGGUGAAAGACGUGUGCUAAAGCUUGUAUAUAUUUACGUGAGGUCAUUUGUUCUAGGACACUGGUCCAGACGGGUUUCGGCUCUCAAGGCCUUAAGGGCUUUGCUCAAGUUCUUAAGGACAUGUGAAUUGUGCAAACGCCUUUGACUAUUGUUGCGCGUAACAUCGCGUUACUGUGUGCAUUUUUCUCGUUUUUUUUUUCUUCUCUCUCCUUCUCCUUUUAUUCCCUUUACCCCUUUCCUCAGCACAGGGUAGCCAGCCGGUAUUUACACUGGCUAACCUCCCUGUCUUUCCUUCCCUUUUGUCUCUCUUUCUCUCUUGUUUCAAGUCUGUUAUUUUGCCUUCUCACAGUCAGCCGUAGCUCUUCCUGUGAUGUGUUAGUGUGCGAAACAUUUUAACGUAACAUAUUCAGAUGUCUUUUGUGUGUUCACAUGCAAGCAGCUUCAAGUGUUCAUGUGUUCAAUGUUGGUUGUUACAAGGAUAUACUUAAGCCCUGCCUUUUGAGUCGCUUUGCCUUCUAGUCAUAAACUUAAGCCGGAAGUGACGACCACGAUGAUCGUUUUAAUUGAAUUCAUAUGUAUAGGUUUUUUCAGAUAUAUUUACAAUGCUAGAGUGCUGUAGGUACUAGCCUAUGUCUGCAGGUUCUAUGUAGUGGUGCCUUAUGUACUGUAAUAAUGUUUCAUGUGCACGCAUCUUUCGUGUGAAUAAACGUACUUCAAAUUGA
Molecule: long non-coding RNA, 3373 nt
Organism: Dermacentor andersoni
Lineage: Eukaryota; Metazoa; Arthropoda; Arachnida; Ixodida; Ixodidae
Source: RefSeq, a predicted model, not a curated record